Molecule: long non-coding RNA, 4335 nt
Organism: Ctenopharyngodon idella (grass carp)
Lineage: Eukaryota; Metazoa; Chordata; Actinopteri; Cypriniformes; Xenocyprididae
Exons: 3
Source: RefSeq, a predicted model, not a curated record
CAAACACACAAGCAUGGACAUUUAACACAAAUAUGUAUAUUCCAUUGCCAAACAGUAGUUUUUGAACAUCUGUUUCACCCCCCAGCUAAGAAUUUUUUGUUCUAAGGACAUUUUCCAAACGUUCAUUUUUCGUUAUGGAAACAUUAAAAUGUCCAGUUUUCUUAAUGUUCCUGAAACAUUCUUUCAAUUUAAUUUUUACUACCAACUAAUAAGAAUGUUGAUUUGUAACAUUCCAAGAACAUAAAAAUGUCCAGUUUCCUUAAUAUUAAUAGAACAUUAUUUAAAGGUUAGUAUUAUGUUCCUGAAACAUUCUUUCAAACAUCUGAACACAUGUUGUUAAUAAGCAGAAUCAUUGAAGGAAAGAGAAACAACAAGAACAGAGACUGACUUCCAGCCACAGUCUUAGAUGAAAUCAGCUGAAGAUAAAAGAUUUCUUUCAAACAUGUACAAAGGUUCUUAUUGAGAUAUACAGAGGUUUAAAUGUUGAUGUUUAGUUGAAAACACGUUUUGUUUGAAGUCACCAUGAUGGUGGUCCAUGUUUGCUUUAGUUAGGCUCUUUACCCUUGACUUUUAUUAACUUACUUCUUUUUCAGCAAUUGCAAUAAUAUUUUCAAGCCUUAGUGCUCAAUGUAGCAUACUAAGUGACACAGAAUUGUGAUUGAUCUGGGGACCCACUGCUCUGCACAUUUUGUAUGUUUCUCUUAUCUGCCACAGUAAUUUCACCUCAUGGUGCUCUUUCCUAACAAGCUGAUGAUCUAAAUCAGGUGUGUUAAAUUAUGAUAUGAAGAGCGGGUCCCCAGGAACAGGAUUGAAAACCACUGAUAAAGAGUGACAUAAAAAUCACAUAAAUUCUGAAAUGACUGUUCAGACUGAGGUGAUAGUGAGGGUUUCAAUGAAAUCCCAACUAAACUAAAGAUGUAUCUGAAACGCACGUUAAUACCAUGUGAGUCAAAAAUGUUAAUGUUAAUACUGUAUGUCCCACUGAACAUUUCAGAUCGGUUCACCGAAAAUGCAUCUUAAAGGAGGUAUAUGUAGAAUUCAGAAACCCUUGUUAUUAGCGACACCAGUGGCAUAUUUACAUUACAGUACAGAAUGGCUCUUUUGGAUUUAUCCUGAACAUUGUAUAAGCAUUUAAUUCUUGUGUUGUUGAACGGAAAAGAGAGGAUCUCAAGAGUGCAUGUAAACGUCACAUCCUUUUUAUUUCGUGGCAAACAUGAUUCCUUCAUGUGGCAGGAUAAGUCACUCAUCUUAUUGGUUGGUUGGAGUAUAGUUGGUGGACCAAUUAAGUGAUAGCAGCCGUACUAUUUAAGGACCCUUAUUUUGACGGGUAGUUAUGUUUGUGACUUGGGGUGCUUCUCUCUCUCUCUCUCUGGCAUUUCCGUUCCGAUUCCUAUUCAGGUAUAUUGGGUUUCUGUUGGUGGUGUAAUGAUGCGUAUGUUGCGAGGCUAAUAUGCGCUAUUUAUAGUUUAAUUUAGAGCGGGGCUGGUGGCGUUGGCAUUGUGGCAAGUCGUGGCGGAGUUCGCUUGCAGGUAUGUUUGGUGCUUAAAUCUUUCGACCGCCUCAGUUGUGGUAUUUAUUGUGUGUUGCUCUCAGUAAUAGCAGCGAGGGCAGGUGUGUGAAUGCUGGCCGGUAGACUGAGCUGCGGCACCGGUAGUGAGUAACCAUACAGCUGUGCGUCUAGUGUUUGUUCAACACCAAUCGUAAGUAUGCUGCUCUUGUCUUUCAUAUUUGUGAUUUUCUGAAUUUUUAGAUUAAUUCUCAUACUCCUUGGUUAAAGGGGAACAUUAAAUCCUGUUCCUAGCCAAUGACUUCAUGUGACGCAGCUGCUGUUUUGCUUAUGGAUACGUUUUGGUUUUGAUCGUGUUUACGGUCAUCUGUGCUGUGUCCUGCUCUGCUGCUCGGCGAGUCGCCGGGGCUGCUAAUGUUGGCUUCGGAGUAUUGCGUCCGCAGGGCUUCCUACCAGUUGAGCUUUUGGAUUUAACAACUUUUUUUAGUAUAGUAAUUUGUUGCUAUAUUUGUUUCUUUUUUUAUAUAUUUUUGUGGCUGGUUUUGUCUUGGUUCUGAUUUAUUUUGUCGCUCUAUUAUAGUAUGUUUACUUCUCUCUUUUUUUUUUUUUUUUUUUUUUUUUUUUCUUUUUUUUUUCUUUUGGUUAUGUAUUGUUUGUUGUAAAGGUUUAAUUUAUUAUUAUUCAUUGACUCACUGUUCUAGUGCCACUCAGGUGCUGGUUAUUUGUCUGUUUUGUAUGUGGUGUCCUCUGGAGGCCUGAGUGUCAGAGCUUAAUAACUAAUAUAAAUUUUGUUUGAAUUUCUUUCUAUAUGCUCCUUUUUUUUUUUUUUUUUUUUUUUUUUUCCCAUGCCAGUGAGGGCUUGUGUGGAUCUGGGGAGGCUAGCUGCUUUCAUUCUGUGGCAUUUCACAGUGUGCUGUGCGUGUGCUGAUACAACUUCCCUUUGGUGGGUGUGCGUGGUGUUUGCUUUGGUGUGAAUUGAGGUGGGUUUUGGAUGACCUCCUGAGUUGCAGCCGGCCUGCCUGGUUCCCACUAAUCCUGGCCCUGGAAACUAUUUCUACUAUUGUGGGUGUGUUUGGUGAGUUUUAAUCAAUGCUUGUGCUUUUUAUAAUAAAGUCUAUUUUUGCAUUGGUAGUCCCUUAUCUCUUUGCCUUCAAUUGGUGAAACUUAUCUGUGUGUCCUUUUAUUGGGAGUUAUUUCCCUGGCCUCCCAGCAGGGUGGCGUAGUCGGAUAAAUUUAAUGGUGAUUUAACAUUCUCCAUUUGGUACUGCCACAUUCACAUAAAAAUCAAACCAAUACUCGGUUUGUACACAUUGAUUCAAUCACCUAAAUGCAGUUGAUUCCACACUAACUCCAAUAAAUAAUAUUAACAAAAGUAUAAUUUCAUGUUUUAUCAGACACUUUUUUUUUUUUUUUUUUUUUUUUUUUUUGCAAAAAUCCAAGAAAAACACAAUACCCCACAUUUGAUAUAGACAAAGCACAUAUUAUCUAGCAACAUUGAUAAUGAAUUUAGAUCAUAAGACAAACUGGCUGUGACAAGCAGGGCGGGGCGAGAGCCGUGAGAGAACGGCACGAGGCCGGUAACACGAGUGAUAAUGAGCGUCAGCUGCGUGCUGCACCGGUCUCGUAUCUCACGGAGGAGCUCUGGAAGCAUAAAAUGAGGAGCAACGACAGUGAAGGACGAGAGAGGACCAGGCCUGGAUUUUAUGUUAUGUUUUUAUUAUGUUUGUGUGGCCAGCAGUUGGCUGUGCAGGACUGCCAGCAUUUUACUUUCUUUUGUAUUUGUUUAUUUUGUAUAUUAAAAUCUGUUUAAAUGUUCGCCAGUUUCCACCUCCUUUCCACAUAAACCUACCUCGUUACAUUAGUGCCGAAACCCGGGAGGAAGGAGGGACAUGCUGUCAAAGAGCCCUCGCUGCUGAGGGGGAGGUUUUUUAUUUUCUCUCUUCCCUCUCUCGUCUCUGGUGCUCCUUGUGCUUCCGUCUCCUUUUCUCUCGUCUCAUCUGUCCUUACCCCCAGGUGCUGCGGCCGCCGAGACUGGCCCCAGGGGGAGUAGAGCGCAGUCUCGGGAGUAUGUGACAAGCAAGGUGGGGCGAGAGCCGUGAGACAGUGAUAAUGAGCGUCAGCUGUGCGUUGCAUCGGUCUCAUAUCUCACGGAGGAGCUCCAGAAGCAUAAAAGGAGGAGUGACGACAGUGAAGGACGAGUGAGGACCAAGCCUGGACUGUUUUAUUAUGUUUGUGUGGCUGGCAGUCGGCCGUGAGGGACUGCCAGCAUUUUACUUUCGUUUUGUUGUUUAUUUUAUAUAUUAAAGUCUGUUAAACGUUCACAAGUUCCUGCCUCCUUCUUCCCAUAACAACAUACCUCGUUACACUGGCAUUUUUUUUUCAUCUGCCGUGGUGUGUGUGUGUGUGUGUGUGUGUAUAUAUAUAUAUAUAUUUAUUUAUUUAUUUAUUUAUUUUUAUUUUUUUUUUUUUUUUUUCUUCUACGUUUUUUAGUUUAUCUAAACCUGAUUUGCUUCAACUCUAUGCCAUUUACCAUAUGGUAGCAUCAUGGAUCACUGUGAUAAUUUACUAGAAUGUAAUCAUCUGAAUUCACUCACUGAUGAGGUUGAGCUGAAUUUUGGUGGUCAGGGAGAUGAAAGUCAAAUGUGUGUCUCUGGUUUCUGCUCCACACCAGUAAACUCCAGCAUCUCUCACGCUCACAUUACUGAUGCUCACUGUAAAAACUCUCUCUUCAUUUCUCUCAGAUGAACCAUUCAUUUCUGUCACUGUAGAUGUGUUGAUGUUUUGACAGAUGUGAUUAUCAUCCUCUUUGCAGAAAUGAACUUUAUGUU